Molecule: transfer RNA, 91 nt
Filed under: Methylobacterium soli
Lineage: Bacteria; Pseudomonadati; Pseudomonadota; Alphaproteobacteria; Hyphomicrobiales; Methylobacteriaceae
Description: tRNA-Arg
Source: RNAcentral
GACCCGCUGGAUCGGCGUGUUGGCGGCGGCGAUGCGCGCGCCGAGAUCGAGGGGCACGCUCUCGAGAUGGGGGCGCAGCCCGUCCAGAUCC